This 881-nucleotide ribosomal RNA is filed under the name uncultured archaeon. Its description in RNAcentral is "SSU rRNA". It matches the Rfam family "Archaeal small subunit ribosomal RNA", at positions 21 to 903 of the family's 1478-position model. The record is from RNAcentral.
AGGUCAUUGCUAUUGGAGUCCGAUUUAGCCAUGCUAGUUGUACGAGUUGAGACUCGUAGCAGAUAGCUCAGUAACACGUGGCCAAACUACCCUAUGGAUCCAGACAACCUCGGGAAACUGAGGCUAAUCUGGAAUAGGGCUCUCAUCCUGGAGUGGAGAGAGCCUGAAAUGCUCCGGCGCCAUAGGAUGUGGCUGCGGCCGAUUAGGUAGACGGUGGGGUAACGGCCCACCGUGCCAGUAAUCGGUACGGGUUGUGAGAGCAAGAGCCCGGAGACGGUAUCUGAGACAAGAUACCGGGCCCUACGGGGCGCAGCAGGCGCGAAACCUCUACACUGCACGCCAGUGCGAUAAGGGGACUCCAAGUGCGAGGGCAUUUAGUCCUCGCUUUUUGCGACCGUAAGGUGGUCGCGGAAUAAGUGCUGGGCAAGACCGGUGCCAGCCGCCGCGGUAAUACCCGCAGCACGAGUGAUGACCGCUGUUAUUGGGCCUAAAGCGUCCGUAGCUGGCCGCGCAAGUCUAUCGGGAAAUCUCUCCGCUUAACGGAGAGGCGUCCGGUGGAAACUGUGUGGCUUGGGACCGGAAGACCAGAGGGGUACGUCUGGGGUAGGAGUGAAAUCCCGUAAUCCUGGACGGACCACCGGUGGCGAAAGCGCCUCUGGAAGACGGAUCCGACGGUGAGGGACGAAAGCUCGGGUCACGAACCGGAUUAGAUACCCGGGUAGUCCGAGCUGUAAACGAUGUCUGCUAGGUGUGACACAGGCUACGAGCCUGUGUUGUGCCGUAGGGAAGCCGUGAAGCAGACCGCCUGGGAAGUACGUCCGCAAGGAUGAAACUUAGAGGAAUUGGCGGGGGAGCACUACAACCGGAGGAGCCUGCGGUUU